GUGAAUAAUAAAAACCGAUAUAUCGGAAAACAGUGAACAGUUAAUUGUGCUGGUUGAUUUUAUAGCCGCAAUAGCGGAACAGAAUGUUUUGACAGAAGCGGACGAAAGGAUUACCCUUUUUGUGGUUCUGCGGAGGAAACAGAGCCAUCAAUCAGCAUAUAAGUAAAACGGCAUUGGACGAACAUGAAAGUCUACAGACACAAACACGUCCUCGUAUACUUCAAUGCAUCGAGAAUCUUCGAAAUAUGGAAAAACGCUGGCAAAUUAAAAAUGAUUUUUAGCGCCGAUCCGUCGCAAAGUGUCAAAAAGUGAAUUUAAUCGCGAAGUCACGGAAAGACGAUAAUAGAAGCCGAAAAUUCUGCAAAAGGUAUUUAUUUUUAAUAAGAGACAUAUUGAUAGAGAGGGCUGUUUCGCUCACUUCUGAAAAACAUAGCAUUGCAGGGCUGGUAUUGAAAAAAAUAAACUGGAAAAUGGAUAUAUUAUUAUGAUUUACCAAUUGUUCAUUCAUAUUAUUGUAUUAUUAUUAUUAAAAUUAUAUAAAAUGUGUUCAUAUUUAGGAAAAAAAUGAUUUAAAAACAAAACUGGAGCGUGACAAAAUCAUAUUUAAAAAUGAAUUAAAAUUUAUUAUAGGCCUUAAAGUUAAUAGAUAAGAAAAAAAUAAAAAUUUA
This is a long non-coding RNA of Armigeres subalbatus, 668 nucleotides long. RefSeq lists it as uncharacterized. The record is from RefSeq and is a predicted model, not a curated record. The transcript is spliced from 3 exons. NCBI's taxonomy places the organism in Eukaryota, Metazoa, Arthropoda, Insecta, Diptera, Culicidae.